CAGUCGCCGCGGUAACACGUAGGGUGCAAGCGUUAAUCGGAAUUACUGGGCGUAAAGCGUGCGCAGGCGGUUAUAUAAGACAGAUGUGAAAUCCCCGGGCUCAACCUGGGAACUGCAUUUGUGACUGUAUAGCUAGAGUACGGCAGAGGGGGAUGGAAUUCCGCGUGUAGCAGUGAAAUGCGUAGAUAUGCGGAGGAACACCGAUGGCGAAGGCAAUCCCCUGGGCCUGUACUGACGCUUAUGCACGAAAGCGUGGGGAGCAAACAGGAUUAGAUACCCCCGUAGUCCCUGUCUCUUAUAU
Molecule: ribosomal RNA, 301 nt
Filed under: uncultured bacterium
Lineage: Bacteria
Description: partial 16S ribosomal RNA
Rfam family: Bacterial small subunit ribosomal RNA
Source: RNAcentral